This is a long non-coding RNA of Leptopilina boulardi, 585 nucleotides long. RefSeq lists it as uncharacterized. The record is from RefSeq and is a predicted model, not a curated record. NCBI's taxonomy places the organism in Eukaryota, Metazoa, Arthropoda, Insecta, Hymenoptera, Figitidae. The transcript is spliced from 2 exons.
CCAUCUCUGAGAUAAGUGUUGUGUGUUUGUAACAAGUCUAAAUUUUCGAUAAUUAGAUUUUCAAUAUAAGACAAUAGCAAUUUAUUUUGCUAUGGAACAAAAAUUUAAAGGAACUUUAUCAUAUAGUGACAGCUGCCGUUGAAGGAAUUCAUUAAUAGGCUUAGAAGUUGGGCAUCUUUCGCUCAGCAAAAAGGGAAUCCCUUUAAGGGUAGUUUGCAAGAGCAGAUCUAACCUUUUGUUCGAGAUAAUAAGCUACCAUUGUUAUAUAGGAUAGGUGGAUCCUCACGAUGACCUUAUUGUCAACGUCCACCCACAGCGUUGCUUGGGAUUUUAGAGAUAAGAGUCUGUUCUUCAACAUCAUAACCACCGUCAUACAGGCACCGCUAUAUCAACUUUUUUUUUCAUUCUCAAUUCUAAAAGUCCAAAUAAGCAAUUGUCAAAGAUUUAUGCUUUUUUAAUUCAACCAGUUUGUAAUUAAAAUUUUUAAACCAACAAAACUAAGAAAUCAUAAUACUAACAAAACCUAAUAUUAUCCAGAUUUUUAAUAAGAAAACAAACUUUGAAAUAUUUAAUGAAAAAAGUUUA